Y RNA from Ictalurus punctatus (channel catfish), 105 nucleotides. It matches the Rfam family "Y RNA". Rfam says of the family: Y RNAs are components of the Ro ribonucleoprotein particle (Ro RNP), in association with Ro60 and La proteins. The Y RNAs and Ro60 and La proteins are well conserved, but the function of the Ro RNP is not known. The record is from Ensembl. NCBI's taxonomy places the organism in Eukaryota, Metazoa, Chordata, Actinopteri, Siluriformes, Ictaluridae.
GGUUGGUCCGAAGGCAGUAGGUAUUUUCAAUUGAUUGCGAUGGUCAGCUUCAGAAUCCUCGUUUCUUCUCUCCCCUCUUCCUCUGCCAACCUUGACCAGCCUUUU